UUGAUGACGAGUGGCGGACGGGUGAGUAAUGCUUGGGAAUCUAGCUUAUGGAGGGGGAUAACUACGGGAAACUGUAGCUAAUACCGCGUAGAAUCGAGAGAUGAAAGUGUGGGACCUUCGGGCCACAUGCCAUGAGAUGAGCCCAAGUGGGAUUAGGUAGUUGGUGGGGUAAAGGCCUACCAAGCCUGCGAUCUCUAGCUGGUCUGAGAGGAUGGCCAGCCACACUGGAACUGAGACACGGGCCAGACUCC
RNAcentral lists this ribosomal RNA (251 nucleotides) under uncultured Haemophilus sp. RNAcentral describes it as "partial 16S ribosomal RNA". It matches the Rfam family "Bacterial small subunit ribosomal RNA", at positions 85 to 339 of the family's 1533-position model. The record is from RNAcentral. Lineage: Bacteria; Pseudomonadati; Pseudomonadota; Gammaproteobacteria; Pasteurellales; Pasteurellaceae.